RNAcentral lists this ribosomal RNA (253 nucleotides) under uncultured bacterium. RNAcentral's name for it is "partial 16S ribosomal RNA". It matches the Rfam family "Bacterial small subunit ribosomal RNA", at positions 524 to 776 of the family's 1533-position model. The record is from RNAcentral.
UACGGGGGGGGCAAGCGUUGUUCGGAAUUACUGGGCGUAAAGGGCUCGUAGGCGGCCAACUAAGUCAGACGUGAAAUCCCUCGGCUUAACCGGGGAACUGCGUCUGAUACUGGAUGGCUUGAGAUUGGGAGAGGGAUGCGGAAUUCCAGGUGUAGCGGUGAAAUGCGUAGAUAUCUGGAGGAACACCGGUGGCGAAGGCGGCAUUCUGGACCACAACUGACACUGAGAGACGAAAGCCAGGGGAGCAAACGGG